Hyla sarda is the source of this 554-nucleotide long non-coding RNA. RefSeq lists it as uncharacterized. Lineage: Eukaryota; Metazoa; Chordata; Amphibia; Anura; Hylidae. The record is from RefSeq and is a predicted model, not a curated record. The transcript is spliced from 3 exons.
AAAUCAUGUGGCUGGAGGGACAAUAAAAUAAAGAAACAUGGAGGAUAGUGGCACCCGACUGCUCACCCCGAUCUCCACCGCGCACUGGCCGCAAGGUACCAGCACACAUCGAGGGGAUCAUCCAGCUGACCGCAUCUGCCGACUCUGCCAACCGGAUAACAUCUGAACAUCUGGAGUACACAAAAGCAGCGCUCCACAUCACCGGCACCAGGUGACACCCCGCAGCACCGGAGACAAGCAAGAACAUCAGCCACCAGAUCCAGCAGUCAGCGGCCCCGGAACCUUGCUGCAUACCAGCCUAUACGCAUCGCAGAGUUGUGCCUGUUAUGCAGCACAACUCUGAAAGCUUCAUUCAGGACUGAGCUGCCUCCUAGAAUGGCAAGUAUGCUGCCUCAAAGAGGAUUGUGUGGGACUCACACUGGAGGUGAAUGAACGGGAAAGACCUCUGGUAGACCGAAAUAAUUGGGAAACUACUGACUUUGACCCUGUAAAGGACCAAUGGGUUUGUGCGCUGUACAGUAAUACAUUCAUUUGCUAUGAUAAUUAAAGCUUCA